CAAUAGCGUAUAUUUAAGUUGCUGCAGUUAAAAAGCUCGUAGUUGGAUUUCGGGUGGGAAUGGCCGGUCCGCCGUUUCGGUGUGCACUUGCUACGCCCACCUUGCUGCCGGGGACGUGCUCUUGAGUUCACGCUCGGGACACGGAGUCGGCGAGGUUACUUUGAGUAAAUUAGAGUGUUCAAAGCAGGCCUACGCUCUGAAUACAUUAGCAUGGAAUAACACGAUAGGACUCUGGCCUAUCUUGUUGGUCUGUAGGACCGGAGUAAUGAUUAAGAGGGACAGUCGGGGGCAUUCGUAUUUCAUUGUCAGAGGUGAAAUUCUUGGAUUUAUGAAAGACGAACUACUGCGAAAGCAUUUGCCAAGGAUGUUUUCAUUAAU
Molecule: ribosomal RNA, 378 nt
Filed under: uncultured eukaryote
Lineage: Eukaryota
Description: partial 18S ribosomal RNA
Rfam family: Eukaryotic small subunit ribosomal RNA
Source: RNAcentral